RNAcentral lists this ribosomal RNA (253 nucleotides) under uncultured bacterium. Its description in RNAcentral is "partial 16S ribosomal RNA". It matches the Rfam family "Bacterial small subunit ribosomal RNA", at positions 524 to 776 of the family's 1533-position model. The record is from RNAcentral.
UACGUAGGGUGCGAGCGUUAAUCGGAAUUACUGGGCGUAAAGCGUGCGCAGGCGGUUGUGCAAGACAGAUGUGAAAUCCCCGGGCUCAACCUGGGAACUGCAUUUGUGACUGCACGGCUGGAGUGCGGCAGAGGGGGAUGGAAUUCCUGGUGUAGCAGUGAAAUGCGUAGAUAUCAGGAGGAACACCGAUGGCGAAGGCAGGUCUCUGGGCUGACACUGACGCUCAUGCACGAAAGCGUGGGGAGCAAACAGG